GGCGAGACCCUAUCAAUAUUGCCUCUGCUUUUUCCACUGUUUAUGGAGUAGUGCAAUAUUGCUUAUAGGGUCUU
This is a non-coding RNA of Cyprinus carpio (common carp), 74 nucleotides long. Lineage: Eukaryota; Metazoa; Chordata; Actinopteri; Cypriniformes; Cyprinidae. The record is from Rfam.